AAUUUUUGACAAUGGGGAAAACCCUGAUACAGCAUUCCCGCGUGUAUGAUGAAGGCCUUCGGUUUGUAAAGUACUUUUGGCAGAAAAGAAUAUGUAUCCACUCAUAUGGGCUACUGCUGUCUGUAUCUGCAGAAUAAGCACCUGCGAACUACGUGCGAGCAGCCGCGGUAAUACGUAGAGUGCAAGCGUCAAUCGGAAUUACUGGGCGUAAAGCGUGUGUAGGCGGUUCGGAAAGAAAGAUGUGAAAUCCCAGGGCUCAACCUUGGAACUGCAUUUUUAACUGCCGAGCUAGAGUAUGUCAGAGGGGGGUAGAAUUCCACGUGUAGCAGUGAAAUGCGUAGAUAUGUGGAGGAAUACCGAUGGCGAAGGCAGCCCCCUGGGAUAAUACUGACGCUCAGACACGAAAGCGUGGGGAGCAAACAGG
This 424-nucleotide ribosomal RNA is filed under the name uncultured bacterium. RNAcentral describes it as "partial 16S ribosomal RNA". It matches the Rfam family "Bacterial small subunit ribosomal RNA", at positions 360 to 776 of the family's 1533-position model. The record is from RNAcentral.